UCGGGGGGAGCCGCCUGGCGGCUGAGAGGUCCGGAAGGACGACCCCGAACCUGAUCCGGUUAAUGCCGGCGUAGGGACUGGU
This 82-nucleotide non-coding RNA is filed under the name uncultured Reyranella sp. Its description in RNAcentral is "TPP riboswitch (THI element)". It matches the Rfam family "TPP riboswitch aptamer (THI element)", at positions 10 to 89 of the family's 105-position model. From Rfam's summary of the family: Vitamin B(1) in its active form thiamin pyrophosphate (TPP) is an essential coenzyme that is synthesised by coupling of pyrimidine and thiazole moieties in bacteria. The record is from RNAcentral. Lineage: Bacteria; Pseudomonadati; Pseudomonadota; Alphaproteobacteria; Hyphomicrobiales; Reyranellaceae.